UAGGGAAUCUUCCGCGAUGGGCGAAAGCCUGACGGAGCAACGCCGCGUGAGUGAUGAAGGUCUUCGGAUCGUAAAACUCUGUUAUUAGGGAAGAACAAAUGUGUAAGUAACUAUGCACGUCUUGACGGUACCUAAUCAGAAAGCCACGGCUAACUACGUGCCAGCAGCCGCGGUAAUACGUAGGUGGCAAGCGUUAUCCGGAAUUAUUGGGCGUAAAGCGCGCGUAGGCGGUUUUUUAAGUCUGAUGUGAAAGCCCACGGCUCAACCGUGGAGGGUCAUUGGAAACUGGAAAACUUGAGUGCAGAAGAGGAAAGUGGAAUUCCAUGUGUAGCGGUGAAAUGCGCAGAGAUAUGGAGGAACACCAGUGGCGAAGGCGACUUUCUGGUCUGUAACUGACGCUGAUGUGCGAAAGCGUGGGGAUCAAACAGG
RNAcentral lists this ribosomal RNA (429 nucleotides) under Actinomycetes bacterium. RNAcentral's name for it is "Actinobacteria bacterium partial 16S ribosomal RNA". It matches the Rfam family "Bacterial small subunit ribosomal RNA", at positions 355 to 776 of the family's 1533-position model. The record is from RNAcentral. Lineage: Bacteria; Bacillati; Actinomycetota; Actinomycetes.